RNAcentral lists this ribosomal RNA (253 nucleotides) under uncultured bacterium. Its description in RNAcentral is "partial 16S ribosomal RNA". It matches the Rfam family "Bacterial small subunit ribosomal RNA", at positions 524 to 776 of the family's 1533-position model. The record is from RNAcentral.
UACGGAGGGUGCAAGCGUUAUCCGGAUUUACUGGGUUUAAAGGGUGCGUAGGUGGGUCUGUAAGUCAGUGGUGAAAUCUCCGGGCUUAACCCGGAAAUUGCCAUUGAUACUAUAGGUCUUGAGUCAUCUGGAGGUAAGCGGAAUAUGUCAUGUAGCGGUGAAAUGCUUAGAUAUGACAUAGAACACCAAUUGCGAAGGCAGCUUACUACGGAUGUAUUGACACUGAGGCACGAAAGCGUGGGGAUCAAACAGG